This 561-nucleotide ribosomal RNA is filed under the name uncultured Acidithiobacillus sp. RNAcentral's name for it is "bacterial SSU rRNA". It matches the Rfam family "Bacterial small subunit ribosomal RNA", at positions 338 to 892 of the family's 1533-position model. Lineage: Bacteria; Pseudomonadati; Pseudomonadota; Acidithiobacillia; Acidithiobacillales; Acidithiobacillaceae. The record is from RNAcentral.
CCUACGGGAGGCAGCAGUGGGGAAUUUUUCGCAAUGGGGGCAACCUGACGAAGCAAUGCCGCGUGGAUGAAGAAGGCCUUCGGGUUGUAAAGUCCUUUCGUGGGGGACGAAAAGGCGGGUCCUAAUACGAUCUGCUGUUGACGUGAACCCAAGAAGAAGCACCGGCUAACUCCGUGCCAGCAGCCGCGGUAAUACGGGGGGUGCAAGCGUUAAUCGGAAUCACUGGGCGUAAAGGGUGCGUAGGCGGUACGUUAGGUCUGUCGUGAAAUCCCCGGGCUCAACCUGGGAAUGGCGGUAGAAACCGGCGCACUAGAGUAUGGGAGAGGGUGGUGGAAUUCCAGGUGUAGCGGUGAAAUGCGUAGAGAUCUGGAGGAACAUCAGUGGCGAAGGCGGCCACCUGGCCCAAUACUGACGCUGAGGCACGAAAGCGUGGGGAGCAAACAGGAUUAGAUACCCUGGUAGUCCACGCCCUAAACGAUGAAUACUAGAUGUUUGGUACCUAGCGUACUGAGUGUCGUAGCUAACGCGAUAAGUAUUCCGCCUGGGAAGUACGGCCGGAAG